UUAGCGGCGGACGGGUGAGUAACGCGUGGGUAACCUGCCUUAUACAGGGGGAUAACAGUUAGAAAUGACUGCUAAUACCGCAUAAGCGCACGGGAACGCAUGUUUCUGUGUGAAAAACUGAGGUAGUAUAAGAUGGACCCGCGUCUGAUUAGCUAGUUGGUGGGGUAACGGCCUACCAAGGCGACGAUCAGUAGCCGGCCUGAGAGGGUGACCGGCCACAUUGGGACUGAGACACGGCCCAAACUCCUACGGGAGGCAGCAG
Molecule: ribosomal RNA, 262 nt
Filed under: uncultured bacterium
Lineage: Bacteria
Description: partial 16S ribosomal RNA
Rfam family: Bacterial small subunit ribosomal RNA
Source: RNAcentral